Long non-coding RNA from Myzus persicae (green peach aphid), 490 nucleotides. RefSeq lists it as uncharacterized. The record is from RefSeq and is a predicted model, not a curated record. The transcript is spliced from 3 exons. NCBI's taxonomy places the organism in Eukaryota, Metazoa, Arthropoda, Insecta, Hemiptera, Aphididae.
CGCGUGCUAUUCCGAGUAAUAACUUCGUGCUGCAUAUUGCUCGUCUUCCAUUAUUAUUCUUAUUAAUUUUACAUUUUGUUUCUUAUAAUUUUUUUUUUUUUUGUGGCUUGUGAAGUGAAUUGUUAAGUGUUGACAGUAUGGAUUCUACACGCCCAAAAGAAAAAAAACACUUUAUUUUCUUAUUUUUCUACAAAUACAAAUAAAAAAAUUUGUUUCGAAAAUGUUGAGGUAUCGUCUAAAGAAGUAGAUGCUCGAUUAGUGUCAUCUAUCGCAUCCACAUCAAAACCUACGACAAGUAGCCCUUAGCUGACACAAUUGGAAUUCAGACCAAUGUACUCUCCCAAUAAAACCACCACAGAUACUGAAUAUACCUAUGCAGACUUAUCAAAGAAAAAUAUGUGGACAAUUUAUUCAAUAUUGAGUUAACAAUAAAAGUUUUUUUUGUAUAUUUGAGAAUAGUUUUAGGAUCAGCUUAUUUAACAUAUUUUGU